This 1001-nucleotide long non-coding RNA is filed under the name Vulpes vulpes (red fox). RNAcentral's name for it is "lncRNA (ENSVVUG00000014467.1)". The record is from RNAcentral. Lineage: Eukaryota; Metazoa; Chordata; Mammalia; Carnivora; Canidae.
AGAGGAUUAAGUAAGAUGAGCCCUGUCAAUUACUGAGCCCUGGAUACUUGCAGAUCACAUUCAGGGGGUGAUGAAUGAGAGCCUUGGUGCCUCGGAGAGCUGGGGAGCGCUGAGCUGGGGCAGGUCGGUGUGUUCUUUGUUUUGUUACACAAAAAAACAAAAAGUCUCUCCCUUCCUUUCCUUCCUUCCUUCCAUCCUUCCUUCUUCCUUCCUUCCUUCCUUCCUUCCUUCCUUCCUUCCUUCCUUCCUUCUUUCCUUCCUUCCUUCUUUCCUUCCUUCCUUCUUUUCUUCCUUUCUUCCUUCCUCCUUCCUUCCUUCCUCCUUCCUUCUUUCCUUCCUUCCUUCCUUCCUCCUUCCUUCCUUCCUUCCUUCCUUCCUUCCUUCUUUCUUUCCUUCCUUCCUUCUUUCCUUCCUUCCUUCUUUUCUUCCUUUCUUCCUUCCUCCUUCCUUCCUUCCUCCUUCCUUCUUUCCUUCCUUCCUUCCUUCCUCCUUCCUUCCUUCCUUCCUUCCUUCCUUCCUUCUUUCUUUCCUUCCUUCCUUCUUUCCUUCCUUCCUUCUUUUCUUCCUUUCUUCCUUCCUCCUUCCUUCCUUCCUCCUUCCUUCUUUCCUUCCUUCCUUCCUUCCUCCUUCCUUCCUUCCUUCCUUCCUUCCUUCCUUCUUUCUUUCCUUCCUUCCUUCUUUCCUUCCUUCCUUCUUUUCUUCCUUUCUUCCUUCCUCCUUCCUUCCUUCCUCCUUCCUUCUUUCCUUCCUUCCUUCCUUCCUUUUCUUCCUUUUUGUCUGCCACAAUCAAGAAACAAUUGAAGGUGUCUUUUUUUUUUUUUACAUUCAUAAAACUCUUGUGUUUUUUUUUCAACAAUUUUUAUUUAUUGAGAGAAAGAGAGAGGGAGCAGGGGGAGGAGCAGAGGGAGAGGGAGAAGCAGGUUCCCCACUGAGUAGGGAGCCUUACAAGGGGGCUCAAUAGCAGGACCCCGGAUCAUGACCUGAGACAAAGGCAGAUGCUU